CGGGUGAGUAACGCGUAUCCAACCUUCCGUUUACUCGGGUAUAGCCUUUCGAAAGAAAGAUUAAUCCCCGAUAGUAUGGUAAGAUUGCAUGAAAAUACCAUUAAAGAUUCAUCGGUAAACGAUGGGGAUGCGUUCCAUUAGGUAGUAGGCGGGGUAACGGCCCACCUAGCCAACGAUGGAUAGGGGUUCUGAGAGGAAGGUCCCCCACAUUGGAACUGA
This 219-nucleotide ribosomal RNA is filed under the name Bacteroides caecigallinarum. Its description in RNAcentral is "partial 16S ribosomal RNA". It matches the Rfam family "Bacterial small subunit ribosomal RNA", at positions 103 to 322 of the family's 1533-position model. Lineage: Bacteria; Pseudomonadati; Bacteroidota; Bacteroidia; Bacteroidales; Bacteroidaceae. The record is from RNAcentral.